GUCAUGCACCAGUAUUUCCAGCUACUUGGAAGGCUGAUGAAGGAGGAUGGCUUGAGCCCAGAAGUUCUGGGCAAUAGUGCACUUGGCUGAUGAGGUGUCUGCACUAAAUUUGGCAUCAGUAUGGUGACCUUCUGGGAGCAAGGGACCAGCAGGUUUCCUAAGGUGGGGUGAACUGAUACACAUCAGAAACAGAGCCAGUCAAAACUCUUGUUCUGAUCAGUAGUGGUAUCACACAGCCACUGCACUUCAGCCUGGGCAAUACAGUGAGACCUUGUCUU
Molecule: non-coding RNA, 278 nt
Organism: Otolemur garnettii (small-eared galago)
Lineage: Eukaryota; Metazoa; Chordata; Mammalia; Primates; Galagidae
Source: Rfam